UGACAGGAUGCUCUCUCCUCCCUUGAGACCGCCCCCGCUACGCCUGCGGGAGGAACGCCCCACCUCUCUCCUCCCAGCCAGCUCAGAUCCCCCUCCCCCUCCCCCUCCCCCUGCCUCUCCUCCACCCUCUCCCCACCUACUGCCCCCUUCCCAACCAGCCUUUCCCCAAGGCCCGACAGCGAAACCUUCACCAGCACAGUGGCCCUGGGGUGCCCACCAGCCUCCCCUGUCGCUAACCUCCAGAGCCCCUGUGCACCCCGACCCACUGCGGGGGCAGCGUAACGGCGGCGAGGCUUUUCUCCGGUCUUCUAUAACUAAGGUGGGGGAAGGAGAGGGAGACAGCAGCUUUCCCUGGCCUAGCCCUUUAAAAGAAAAAAGAGACAAACAGCCACACCGCCCCCGCAGCGCCUCUCACUGGACGACUUUUCUACCCUUCUACCCGGACCCUUCCAAAGCCCACCUCUGGCUGGGACCCGCCUUCCCUCCCCAGCCCCUCACCUGCUCCUGCUCCCAGCUCCGCCGCUGCUACCACCGCCUCCGCCCCCGCAAGUUCCACUUGCCUCUCACUCCGCUCUCUCUGGCUCUCCAAGCCUACUUCACCGCGGCUGCUCCCCUGGCCCGCUCCCCGGCUCCCUCCUUCCUUCCCUCCACCUAGCACCGGAAGCCGCAACGGCGACAGGAGCUGUGCGGCGCACCCCCACCCCCAGCCCGGGAUACUUCCCACCUCCACGAUCGCGCGAGAGUUGCGCUGUAGCAAGCAGCAGUUAUCGCGAGACCCAUCACCAUGGCAGCGGCUGCAGCAGAAGCCGCUGAGCGCUGGAGUCCAAGUCUGGUGGGGGCCGGUGAGGUGUGGGGGCUGAGGGCUGCGGGCGGCAGAAGUAGGAGCUGGGAGCCGAGGAAUAAGGAUGGAACCGUAGAGACUGAGUCUAGGUGCAUCAGCCACAGAGCUACACCAUUGUUGCUACUCACUAUUACUGAAACUAAGUGACAACAAAGCCUGAAUUAAGAGAUCCUUUUCCAUAAGGAAGAGGAGGGGGAGUGAUGAAUUUAAAAGACUAAAGGAAAAAGCUGAACUUGAAAGACCAUGAGUUGAAGAGGGUUGAAGGCUAAAGUUCAGAGGUGUGGUCUAAGAAAGUGUAUCUAGAUGAAUAUGGAUUUUAGUGUCCUAAGGAAAAGUGAAGGGCUUUGCACCUGUGUGUCUCACUUCCUACCUACCAAUCUCUGAUUCCACCACACUCGAUUUUUUGCACCUGAUGGACAUAUGCAAAGCUGCCUUGGAACAGUCACAGCUGUGAUAAAAGCUGCACUAGAAGGACACUAGAAAUACUAAGAACAGAAGGUUCUUUAAGUGCCCUCCCUCCUCAUUUCAGCAGUACAAGAGAACACGUGGCUCUUAAACGCCUGAGCCAAAAUUGCCACUCUUCUGAAUUUCCUGCCUUUUUUCUUGUUUCCUUCCAAGGAGAGCUAGGUUGGUAGAUACCACACUGUGUGUACUCCAUGUCCACAUCAAGCCCUGGUUUGUGUCCUUACCAGACCCUUCCUCUUAUCCCAGUCUGUUUUCUCACGUUUAUUUGAAGAAUAACAUGUCUUAGAAUAUAAAGUCAAGAAGACCCUAAUUGAAGAUGGUGAAGGAUGAGAUGGAUUAAAAAAAAAAAAAGGAACCUAUGUAUAACAAAAAGAAUUAAUCCUUUCCUAGCUUCUUGUUAUUCCCUUUGCCUUGCUAAGCUCUGUUUUUAAAGGCAAAAGACUCUUCCAGCAUUAUUCCAUGUUAAUAACACACUGCUAGAGUGGGCCCUGUGAUACCUUCAUGUGAUUGCCCUCCCCACUCCUUUCCCUAGAAAUUUCUAGCAACACUCCACGAGAUUAUACCCCCACAAGACCACCAAAAAUAUGCUUUACAACUCCUUCCCUAGUACUUCAGCCACACCAACAUGCCUUGUGGGAGUCCAUUAUAGAGAUGGAAACUGCUGAUGGAUGUUCCUGCCUAUGACUAAAGAGCCUCUCCAGGUUGUAUCCCAAGUGUGACAGAAAGAUGGGAAUGGUGACAGCCUAAUAUGAUUAGGAGCAAACACCCCGAACUGAUGAAUUUGACUGGAAAAUCUCCCAGUUCUUCUCUCCUUCACCCCUCAGGAGUCUGGGGAAGAAAGUGUCUAUGUAGCUUCAAAGAGGGCUGCGCAUAGAACUAGCAGGAGGAGAGAAAGGAGAAGUGCUGCCUACUACCAUGCCCCAACUUCACAGCCACUUGGUAAAGGGUAGAGGAGGAGCUCUUCCAGAGCUGAAGGAGGCCCAGAUGCCUGACUUAGAGUCUUUUUCUUGUCUCUCUGGCAACUAGAGUCUAGUAAAAAGUGAAAGUGUAGCCACCAGCUUCCAUUCUAUCCCUGACCCCAGGCCUGGGCCUGAGCCCAGGCGUGUGCCAGGAGGAGGGGUGUUGGCCUUACUGACAAAAUCCACUUGGAAUUUGUCAAGGUUGUGGUUUGGGGCUUAAGUUUGGCACAGAGGGUGUCUGAUGAAAGAACAGGGAAAGCUAGAAAAGAAAGGGAGCCAAAGGACUACAGAGGACAGAAACAGGACAAAGCUGAACUGUUCUUGCUACAACUUCAUUGGAGAGUCUCCUUCCCCUUCCUGAAUGUGAAAAAUUUGUACUCGGGGUGUUCUUUCUCAUUAUUCUCUUUCAUAUCUUUUGGCAAUUCUAGCUGCAUCUCUUCUCCUUUGCCCCUCUCCCAUAUGCAUAUAAGGUUCAGUAAGGGUCUGAAUUAAGAAUGGGAUAUCUCCUGACACUACCACAUUUUCAAACCCAGAAUUCUCAGUGAUCAAGUGGAGAUUUGUGAUGUAAAAUGUUGCUGUAAAAUACUGCCCUAACCCAAGACAAAUAUCCUUGCUACCUUGUUGCUACUCUCAUUUCAUCUAAUUUGAGGAUAAUUUUGGUAGCAGAUAAAUCUGUUGUCCAGAGAAGUAGCACUAUUUCUACAUCCAUGGCUAAGGUCAUGACCUGUUAAGUCAGAUCUUGAAGUCUCCCAUGUACACAAUCAUCUGUAAAGUUUUAAAUUGUCAUGUAUACACGUGUGCAUACAUAUAUAUCCCAUAUAGAUAUAUCCCUUUUAUCAUUGAAUCUUGGAAAGAUAAGUUUAUUUUCAAAGAUACUGAGUUAAGGCCAGGGAUUUAGCUCAGUGGUUCCAGUGCCUGCCUCACAAGCACAAGGUCCCAAGUUCAAUCCCCAGUACCAAAAAAAAAAGAUACUGAGUUAGGAAUAGAGACAAGAAAUUCUGUUUUCUCAGGUUAUCUUUUAAAAGAUAAAGAAAUUUGUGUACUAAAAUUAGUAAAGUUAUUUUACUAAGGUAAGGAAGGACAAAAUACGG
This 3356-nucleotide long non-coding RNA is filed under the name Heterocephalus glaber (naked mole-rat). RNAcentral's name for it is "lncRNA (ENSHGLG00000033120.1)". The record is from RNAcentral. Lineage: Eukaryota; Metazoa; Chordata; Mammalia; Rodentia; Bathyergidae.